Harpia harpyja (harpy eagle) is the source of this 5893-nucleotide long non-coding RNA. RefSeq lists it as uncharacterized. The record is from RefSeq and is a predicted model, not a curated record. NCBI's taxonomy places the organism in Eukaryota, Metazoa, Chordata, Aves, Accipitriformes, Accipitridae. The transcript has 2 exons.
AGUGCUGCAUGGAUUUUUCACCUACUUGAAGCCCUGUUGCAUUUUCAUUUGUGUAACUGAAACUGUAUGAAUAGGGAACACUGUUGCUGAGAAAGGCUUCUGCUAAUAGCACUCCUGCAUAGAUCAGCUUGCAGGACUGACUAAAAACACUUGCAUCUUUCAUUCCCAAACAUGCACUGAGAGUCAGAACCCAAGAAUAUGGAGAACUACAUAAACAAAACAGCCUCCAAGAGAGCUGUGCAGGCAUAACUGUGAAGAAGGAGAACAGGAAGGUUGCUUGGUACCUGGAAUGUCACAAGACCAGAAAUCAUUACACUGCGGACAGCGUGGUUCAGUCUGAGCUCUGAAGUACUUUCUGACACAAGGUAAAUGCAUUCCAAUUCCACAGGAUUCACAUACUUGGCUCUGAAAUCAGAAGUGUUGAUAAAAAAAAAAAAAAAAAUCUUUCUAACCUGUCCUUCAGCUUAACGUAAAGUUGUUACAAAGGGCAGCAGAUGUGCAGUGCUUUAUUGCAAAGAAUGGUUCACACAGUACAGUUGGUGGAUACUCAAAAGUGAAAGGUGAUAAAUGAUAAAAGGAGGCAUUUUCCUGGAAGCUAGGAAAUACUAUUUCCCUAUAUGGACAAAAUUUACCUUGAAAGACAAACAACACUGAGCUAUUUGGGUGCAAUAAAGGAAACCAAUUGGGAUGGAAAAAGUAACAUGGAAGUAUGUUAGUUGGGAAGACGAGAAGAUGCAGGGUCAAGGAGCAAGAGAAUGCUGUAGUUUUGGAAUAGGAGUUCAGGCUGUAACCACUUAUGCAAGACUAAACUGGUAACUUACCAGCUGUCAAAAUACAGUGCUUUAGCAUGCUAUAUAUAAGCAUACAUGUUCAUUCUGAAGUCCAAGACACAAACAAUUCCCGAACCAAAAUUCCAGGACCAAAGAUGAAUGUGUGUCACAUGAAGACUGUUGUUUGUAAGGUCCAAAUGUAAGAUAGCUAACUCUUAACUGUUACGCCUAUUUAAGGAUAAGGGGUUCAUCUCUAGCCUGCUGGCUUUGGAAAGCAAGACAGCACAAUCAUGUUCCUCAUUGGGUGAGUUUGCUUUCUCCAAGUUUAUACUUGGAGAUACUGCUCCAAGACAAGUUUUCUUCCAAAGACAGAAGAUAAAAUACCUACACUGAAAAAAAAAAAAGGGAGGGGAGGCAUGUUUAUAUACAUGGGCACCAUUACCAGAUUACAAGACCAGAAUUUUUCAGUGCCUGCCUAAUUACUCAGAGUAAAGUAUCACAAACUUCAGCUAUGACCACAUAAGUACAUUGGCAGAUACCUACUGAGGUAAUAAAACAAACGUUACCUGGAUGGCAAGGCUGUGACAGAUGUUACACUUCCUUGCCACAUCUUGGUAGUUGCUGAGAAUGUAUUGUUCCAUCUCAAUUAUGCAGCGAGUAUGCAGAGUAUAUUCUCCAUUUCUCUAAGGAAACCAGUGGCAAGACUUAAUUUAAUUCCUUUUACCUUUUUUGACUUUUCUAACCAUUUGACAUCCACUUUUUUCUGCCAUCAUGAAACUAACAUGCUGACACCAAUAUAAGGCAAAACUGAAAUACUUUUGAAGUAGCAGAAUUCACUUGUUUAGAGGAUGAGAAUCAAGAUCUCACACCUUUAAGAGGCCUAGUCCUUAGAAGGUACAGAUGAGCAAGCAUGCUCUCCUUAAAGACAUGCAGUUUUGGGACCCUCCAUUUGCAUGUUAGCAGAAAUUCUACUGGCUUUCAGCAAAAUCUAGGCAUUUACUGCUUGAGGUAUCUUUGAAAAUUUCUGUUAAAUCACUCUAACGUAAGUAAACAUGUGGCAGCAGGUUGGAGUUCUAUCUAUGAUGGAAUGAAUCCUGGAGAAAAGGGAUUGAGGUCUCGCUUCUCUUGGCAAGCAACUGCAGUGUCCAUGCAGCAAGCUAAUCUCAAUUUCUCCCUCGUGAAGUAAAGGAGAUUUAGAAACAGGCACAGUGGCCCAUGCAUUUCUGGUACAGGAGUUUUCAACAUGUUUGCCCUCGCUGCUUUCCAGGAUAUUCUAAAUGUAACUACCAGCACUGAUCGCCCUACAGCUCUUGUUCCAAGUUUAAGUAUGCCAUGCUGUUGCGUACAAAGGACGUCUGUACCUUGCAAUGCAGGGCUGUACACACAUACCCACCUAGCUCAGGUACAAGAAACUGAAACCACAUUGACCUGUAUAGACCUACCCAAGGACUUCUUGUAAAUGUACUACCUCUUCUGCAAAAAUCACUGCAGCAGCAAUAAGCACAGGCCCCACAAAAACAUUUUUGCCAUCGUUCAUUAAAGAACAGCUCCAGUUUCAGCCAUCACAUCCAUAACAAAAUAAUAGCUGGACCUAUUAAAAUAUGAACACUUGAAAAGACACAGCAGUUACCUCAGAGAGCCACUUAUCCUCCACAAAAACUUUCAGCACUUGUUCCGCUUCCUUUUUCUUCAUUUUCUUUGUCUUCAGUUGGUCAGUCAAGUUUAAAAUAUCUGUAGAAGAGGCAAAGCCAUUUUCUGAUAAGAUGAUUAGGUCCAUCUACAGAAAGAAACAUUUUCAACUAUUAAAAAAACCAUGCUAUUAGAUAGACACAUCUUAUAGUACAGUGCAGCUUUUUUACCAUCCAUACAUGAGAUACACUACAGUAUAUGGCUUGAACCAGGAUUGUAGAACAAAGGCCAAAAGUUGAAACAGUCAUUGUUAGCUUGACAGUUUUAAUCUUUGCCAAGAAAACAUUUCCACAAAUAGAACUGAACAGUGCUGCCUAAAUGAAGCUGCAUUCAGGGACCCUUGAGCAUACUUGGGGGUGACAGUUCUGUUGCUUUUUACCUGCUUUUUGUCAAGGUUCUUUUGAGGAAAAAUCUCUGACUACUAAAGUAAGUUUGUCCACUGUGGAGUCAUUAGUACUACGGAACCUACCUGGCACUUGAAGGUUGUAGCAAUCACAACUGAAAAUCCUGAAGGUGAUUGUUUAACUAAAAGCAGAUAUGUCAAGUCACUAACUCCAAGGAGCACUCCCUUAUUGCUGAUUUCAGUUUACCAAUAACUGACUUUCAACAGGGAAUCAUUACUUGCAUAUACUCCCAUCCCCACCCUCCCAUUCGAUUUAGGAUAAACUUAGGUAAGAUGGCAACUAGUUCCUAAACAACAUCUCCCUUCAUUUCCAUUUCCAUUCAUUUUAAGAUGGUACCUUCACAAAUAAUGUGAUUUACUAACUAAUUACUGACAUACUUACUGUUUUUCUGAACAAUUCUAAUUCAUUUUCUGUAUAGUCCGAUGCCAUUUUAGUUAUUUCAGUUUCUGCCAAAUUCACCUACAAAAAAAAUACUUAAACUGAAAUCAAAGUGCCUUUGUAUUUCUACACCAUAAAUUGUAAAAGAUCCUCUGGGCUAAAGAAUACAUCAUCUUACAAUUAACAGAAACAUCAUUUCUUUAAGUAGCAUGAAAGUAGCUGUUCCUUAAAGAUGGCACUCAAUGGUUCUCAAGUCCCUUCUUUAUAACCCCUGAUCUUCCAGCCACAUGUUCUCCAUAGCUGCCUCUGCCCAGUCCAAGCUCUUAAACAACUCGGCCUCCCCGCUACAGAAUUAUAUAGAAUAUUAGUUCUAUAUAGUAGAACUAAUAUAUUACACCAGGAUACUGUGCUGGACAGUAGCACUAACUAUGUCAUAAUACACUUUUUUGUUUCUGUGAAGAACAGUCACCUAUAUUUCAUAUUCUUAUUGCACAUGCUGCUGCUAUUUAUUAUUAGCUUAAGUUAAUUGGCAAAAUGACCCAGAAAGGUUAAAAGCAGCAGCUAAUGUUAGAAUACUUCCUGUAUGGUCUUUUGAAAUUACUAUAUGACCUUCCGUCUCUGACAUGCACAUUGCAGAACAUCUAGGUAAAUGUUUUAUGGGCCAUUCCUUAGCAACUGUUUUAUGCUAGGUUGAUUUUUGAGUAAGAGAAAAAGAAAACUAAUGUUGGAGGGCUCUCUGUGUUUUCUAGUUUAAAAAUGCAUCUUGAGAAAGUCUCCUGUGAAAAAGAAAUCUCACUUCAGCACUUAAGCAAUGUUUAUGCUAAAUAAAUCAGAUGCUGCUGUAGUCCUUGCUGCCAUGUUCCAUGUCCACACACCUAGGCUGCUGGCAGUUUAUCCUCCCACUUCCCUAUUCUACAAGUAGCUUCUACAGCAGCUGUCAGCAUAACAGUGGAACAGCCCCACAUAAACCACACAAGACACUGCUAAGAGUAAGAAGCCUACUGGCACAUGCAGCCUUCAGUUCUAGAUUCUCUCUGUUUUCUCUAAAUAUCAGUUCUAUUAUACUGUAGGAAAAGGACCCUAAGGUAAGUCAAUCUAACAUCCAACGAUGGCAGUUAGGGCAGCCUUAUGUUUAUUAUGCACACAUACAGCUAGAUUUUUUUUGCCCAUUUACAACUGGAAGGUGUGCAGACCUUUUACGGGCACGUUAUUCAAAGGUUAAUUUUAAGUUGGAGACAGGGAGGCUGAGGCUCCCUCUGCCAUCCAUGCGCUGGUCAUGAGAAGCCAAACCACGCGAUGGCAGCACAUCACAUACUUACUAAAGCAUAAUGUGCUCUCCCAUCACCUUCUGACAUUCCUUUCCGGAUCUGCAUAAACAAAGGCUGUAGAUGGCUGUUAAUGGUACUGAUGAAAUCAUCCAGUUUAUCAUGUGCGUAGUAGACUGAAGAUAAGAAAAAGCACAUACUCAGAAAACCCAAACAACUACAGAUCAGGCAGAUCUUUUUAUGUUUUAUCUGCUGAAACAUUUUUUUCCUAGGUAAAAGAGCUAAAUGUUAGUGAGGCAGAAUUCAAAUAGAUCUGCUACAUUCAGCAGACAUAUAAUUUUCUUGUGCUGCUGACUACUAGCCUUCAGAGAAGCUCUGCUCCUUCAAAGUCAGAGUUUAGAGAGAGAGAGUCCAGACAUUCUGCCUCGCUGUAUGGAACCCACCGCAUUAAUCCAUUAAUUACAGUGACUUGAACUAAGUUUAACUGAAAAUAAAACAUGACCAGGAAAAAUUAUUAUGCACAAUACAAAAAUAUACUUGCAUGCUUUUGUUUACACACAAGGGAUUCCUUGUUUCUUUGUGUUCUGUUUCACAAAUUAAUGGCAUGUAAAUGAUCAAGUUACAUACCAGAAAACUUAAAUUCUAGCAUUGUAGAAAUACAGGUAAUAUCUUGUGUCAUGUUCUACAAACAAAUACUAGCAGAAGUUCUAUCAUAGGCAUAAUCAAGAUGGACUUUGGAGUCAUUCUGUAGAAGCAUGUGCUAUGGCUUUUGCUUGCACAGCAACAGCACACGCCCUCAGGAGUUUCCAUCCAAACCAAAAUGAUGUCAGUGGCAAAACUCCCGUUGACUUCAGCAGGCUAGUGUUAAGUAACAGCUUAUAACUUUAGAAAAAUAAUACUCAAAAUACUCAAAAAUACUACCAGUUAUCACUAACUUAAUACUAUUCUCAGUUACAAAAGGCAAUCACUUGUGUAACAGCAUCAGACAGAGGUCCCACUCUCAAAACCCCACUAUACUUUAUAGCGUAGCACAAUGCAAAAACAUAAGUCACAGGAGGCUCCUGCCCAGAAAGUUUGUGAUUCUGAUAUGUAAGACUCCUUAAGUGAAAAAAAAAACAACAAACAGCAAUAGCAAUAAUAAAGUAAGUAUAAUAUUAAAGUAAGUAUAAUUUUGUCAAAUUGUCAUGCCACCUGCCUGGCACCUGUCAGCAGGAAACACUCCACACACAUCAAAGCCAGUGAGCAUUAGUGACAAAUCUCAAAGAGGGCAACAGAAGAAUAUUCUUUUGUACAACAGCUCUAACAUUUUAAUGUGAGAUGAAUGGCUGCUCUAGUAGAUCCUGUGAAAAAAAGGGAUAUAAACUCUCCAUAAAAAAAGAACGGGGGA